This 396-nucleotide long non-coding RNA is filed under the name Nicotiana benthamiana. Its description in RNAcentral is "long non-coding RNA (NBEN_LNC033604)". Lineage: Eukaryota; Viridiplantae; Streptophyta; Magnoliopsida; Solanales; Solanaceae. The record is from RNAcentral.
AACGAAAUCCCAAGGUUGAACAUACCCUACUAGGACCCCAUAUAUCCGAAUGAACUAAAGAAAAAACAGACUCUGCACGACUCUCAAUACUACGAAGAAAGGAGGCGCGGGUAUGUUUCCCGAGCUGACAUGACUCACACUCUAAUGUGGAUAAACUGGACAAACGAGGCACCAUAUUCUGAAGUUUGCACAAGCUAGGAUGUCCUAAACAACCGUGAAGUAGGUCUGGAGGAUCUGCAGCUAGACAGGCCUUAGAGGAUGUUAGUGAGUGAAGGUAGUAGAGUCCGUCUGAUUCAAGUCCUGUUCCAACCGUCUGUCCCGUACUGCGGUCCAGCAUAAUAAAAGAGUCAUCAAUAAAAUAUAUUCCGCAAUGGAGGGCACGAGUCAAACGACUCA